This is a long non-coding RNA of Oreochromis niloticus (Nile tilapia), 1500 nucleotides long. RefSeq lists it as uncharacterized. NCBI's taxonomy places the organism in Eukaryota, Metazoa, Chordata, Actinopteri, Cichliformes, Cichlidae. The transcript has 2 exons. The record is from RefSeq and is a predicted model, not a curated record.
UGGUGUUUAAACAGUUUUUCGGUGGACACAGUACAUAUCCUGAAUCUGCUGUUGAUGUACCAAUUGCUUGUCUAAUCUUUUGGAUUUUUUCUGUGAAGAAUUUGGCAAAGUCAUUGCAGGCCAUGGUUGAAUGAAGUUCAGCUGGAACUUCAUUUCAUACUGGAAAAAUAGAAACAAAUGAGGUGUGAUUUACAAAAUAACAUGAUCGCAAGGUUCAAUGAAUGUCAUUUACGUUUUAGAGAAACAAUAUAAAAGAUCAAUAGGAGGAUUUAUUGGAUGCCUAUGUAGCUGGGAUAUAAUAUACUGAGUGUGAACAUUCUCAAAACUGUAUUGUAUAUAGUUUUUUUUUUUUUAUUGUGUAAAUUUAAUUUUUGUAAAACUAAGGUUCCACAUGUCACUGUUGAAGUGAGGCAUUGAUCAGUGUGACACCACUUGUAAACAUGCUGCAUGUGUGGGGGUUCCCAGCCAGUGCUGCAUGGACUCCACACUGGGAUGAGCAGAGGCGUGCUGUUGCUGUGUGACACUGAUUUUGCUGCUCCACUUUGUGUUUUAGGUAUGUGUAAAUGUAUAGUUUUUGUUUUCUGUGUAUAAUGAGUUCAUGAUCUGAGGCUGCACACUGAAUAGCAUUUUCAGCCAUGUUGGUAAAAGUUAAAGUUGUUUGAAUAUGUAUUGUGUAUUUGAUCCAUCUUAGUGGGAAUUUGAAUAUUAUAAGUUAUUAUUAGUGGCUUAUUUUUGACUGCACCUUGCUUCAUCUUUGUCUCUGUUUUACCCCACUAUAACGUUUGAUUUAAAUGUGGCUGUUGAGAAAAACCACACCGUUGUUUUGAUAGAUUGUAUUUUCUUUUAUAUAUUGUAAGCAGUGCUGCAUGGACUCCACACUGGGAUGAGCAGAGGUGUGCUGUUGCUGUGUGACACUGAUUUUGCUGCUCCACUUUGUGUUUUAGAAAUAAAUCCAGUUUCCAGCCAGUCUGUGUCUGUCGUCACAACGCAGUCAACCGUUCGAAAUCUGUUACACCUACAUGGAACAAAGUACAUCUGACAUCUCAUAUAAGUUUACAAUGAAAAUGAAUGCACAGCUACAUGUCUACUAAAGAAAUAAUGGGAUGUUUUAUUAUGUACAUUAUAUGCAUAUUGUCAACAUGAGCAAGAGUCUGAUCUUCAUUUAUUUAGAUUUUCAAUGUAUUAGCAUUAUUUUGAAGCUUAAAGCAAAUAAACUAAAUUCUGGCUACAACUCCAAUGUUUAGAGUUCCUCUCAGACAAUAAUGUGGAACUUUAUCAUAUUCUGGAAAUUUGAGGAAAUGUUCUAAGAUUUUUUUUUUUUUUAAAUUAGGCUUUACAAUGAGAGAUGUAAAGAUGGUCUGAAGUGUGUUUGUAUAGGAUGCGUGGACUGUUUCUAAAUAGGCUAUGUUGCAUUUAUUAAUUCUGGAAUAUUUUGAAAGAACUCUACAUUAAAGAGCAAGUCCACAGAGUGGAAUUUCCUGAUUGUAUUAGAAGUUCUCA